GAGGUGCCUGGAGCCACAAG
Molecule: unclassified non-coding RNA, 20 nt
Filed under: Mus musculus (house mouse)
Lineage: Eukaryota; Metazoa; Chordata; Mammalia; Rodentia; Muridae
Description: oocyte_clustered_small_RNA6766
Source: RNAcentral